GCCGACUUAGCUCAAUCGGUAGAGCAUCUGUCUUGUAAACAGAAGGUCAGGGGUUCGAUUCCCCUAGUCGGCU
Molecule: transfer RNA, 73 nt
Filed under: Nonomuraea soli
Lineage: Bacteria; Bacillati; Actinomycetota; Actinomycetes; Streptosporangiales; Streptosporangiaceae
Also listed under: 3 other names
Description: Nonomuraea sp. YIM 120770 tRNA
Rfam family: tRNA
About the family: Transfer RNA (tRNA) molecules are approximately 80 nucleotides in length. Their secondary structure includes four short double-helical elements and three loops (D, anti-codon, and T loops).
Source: Rfam by way of RNAcentral